UACAGAGGUGUCAAACGUUGUCCGGAAUUACUGGGCGUAAAGGGCGCGUAGGCGGCCUUAUAAGUCAUUUGUGAAAGCUCUGGGCUCAACCCAGGAAUUGCAAGUGAUACUGUAAGGCUUGAGUUCGGUAGAGGAGGGCGGAAUUCCAGGUGUAGCGGUGAAAUGCGUAGAUAUCUGGAGGAACACCCGUGGCGAAGGCGGCUCUCUGGACCACAACUGACGCUGAGGCGCGAAAGCUAGGGGAGCAAACAGG
This 253-nucleotide ribosomal RNA is filed under the name uncultured bacterium. Its description in RNAcentral is "partial 16S ribosomal RNA". It matches the Rfam family "Bacterial small subunit ribosomal RNA", at positions 524 to 776 of the family's 1533-position model. The record is from RNAcentral.